GCUGUCAGUGAUGAUAUCUGUUUCAGUUGGCCUGAAUCUUUUUUGAAAACAUGAGGGGCAACUUCAGUCACUACCUCUUCUGAGACGC
Small nucleolar RNA from Alligator mississippiensis (American alligator), 88 nucleotides. It matches the Rfam family "Small nucleolar RNA SNORD11". NCBI's taxonomy places the organism in Eukaryota, Metazoa, Chordata, Crocodylia, Alligatoridae. The record is from Rfam.